UACGUAGGGUGCGAGCGUUAUCCGGAAUGAUUGGGCGUAAAGCGUCCGCAGGUGGCUGUGUAAGUCUGCUGUCAAAGAGCGAAGCUCAACUUCGUAAAGGCAGUGGAAACUACACGGCUAGAGUGCGUUCGGGGCAGAGGGAAUUCCUGGUGUAGCGGUGAAAUGCGUAGAGAUCAGGAAGAACACCGGUGGCGAAGGCGCUCUGCUAGGCCGCAACUGACACUGAGGGACGAAAGCUAGGGGAGCGAAUGGG
This 253-nucleotide ribosomal RNA is filed under the name uncultured bacterium. Its description in RNAcentral is "partial 16S ribosomal RNA". It matches the Rfam family "Bacterial small subunit ribosomal RNA", at positions 524 to 776 of the family's 1533-position model. The record is from RNAcentral.